AGUCGAACGAGAAUCUACUGAAAGAGUUUUCGGACAAUGGAUGUAGAGGAAAGUGGCGGACGGGUGAGUAACGCGUGAGGAACCUGCCUUGAAGAGGGGGACAACAGUUGGAAACGACUGCUAAUACCGCAUGACGCAUAGAGGUCGCAUGAUCUUUAUGCCAAAGAUUUAUCGCUUCAAGAUGGCCUCGCGUCUGAUUAGCUAGUUGGCGGGGUAACGGCCCACCAAGGCGACGAUCAGUAGCCGGACUGAGAGGUUGAACGGCCACAUUGGGACUGAGAUACGGCCCAGACUCCUACGGGAGGCAGCAGUGGGGAAUAUUGGGCAAUGGGCGCAAGCCUGACCCAGCAACGCCGCGUGAAGGAAGAAGGCUUUCGGGUUGUAAACUUCUUUUAAGAGGGAAGAGCAGAAGACGGUACCUCUAGAAUAAGCCACGGCUAACUACGUGCCAGCAGCCGCGGUAAUACGUAGGUGGCAAGCGUUGUCCGGAUUUACUGGGUGUAAAGGGCGUGCAGCCGGGUCUGCAAGUCAGAUGUGAAAUCCAUGGGCUCAACCCAUGAACUGCAUUUGAAACUGUAGAUCUUGAGUGUCGGAGGGGCAAUCGGAAUUCCUAGUGUAGCGGUGAAAUGCGUAGAUAUUAGGAGGAACACCAGUGGCGAAGGCGGAUUGCUGGACGAUAACUGACGGUGGGGCGCGAAAGUGUGGGGAGCAAACAGGAUUAGAUACCCUGG
This 731-nucleotide ribosomal RNA is filed under the name uncultured bacterium. Its description in RNAcentral is "bacterial SSU rRNA". It matches the Rfam family "Bacterial small subunit ribosomal RNA", at positions 60 to 790 of the family's 1533-position model. The record is from RNAcentral.